RNAcentral lists this transfer RNA (85 nucleotides) under Felis catus (domestic cat). It matches the Rfam family "tRNA". From Rfam's summary of the family: Transfer RNA (tRNA) molecules are approximately 80 nucleotides in length. Their secondary structure includes four short double-helical elements and three loops (D, anti-codon, and T loops). The record is from Rfam by way of RNAcentral. Lineage: Eukaryota; Metazoa; Chordata; Mammalia; Carnivora; Felidae.
GCCUGGGUGGCUCAGUCGGUUGAGCGGCUGACUUCAGCUCAGGUCAUGAUCUCACAGUUCAUGGGUUCGAGCCCCACAUCAGGCU